RNAcentral lists this long non-coding RNA (225 nucleotides) under Salvia miltiorrhiza (redroot sage). Its description in RNAcentral is "long non-coding RNA (SMIL_LNC002256)". The record is from RNAcentral. Lineage: Eukaryota; Viridiplantae; Streptophyta; Magnoliopsida; Lamiales; Lamiaceae.
CGCCAUUUCUGCAAUUAAUCCCCAAUUCACUUUUUUUAAAUAAAGGUCGCACGUGUAGCGCACGCCCAAGCACUCCCCCCACGGCCCCACCAUCGACUCGUUGCGUCGUAGAGACCCGGCCUCGACCUCGCCCUCGCCCAGGUCGCCAGCGCGGACGUGUCGCCGUCGACGCGCAUCGCCCCAGGCUCCGAGGCGGCGCUGGGAAUGCUCUUAAUUGUUAAUAAU